GCUUAUUCUCAGGGCGGGGUGUAAUUCCCCACCGGCGGUAAACCAGGCGUAUAUUCCGUAUACGUGCUGGAAGCCCGCGAGCGCUCAUGGUUGGUUUGCCAGCAACAAUGGUUGGUUUUUCCCGCGUGAGGUCAGCAGAUCCGGUGUAAUCCCGGAGCCGACGGUUAGAGUCCGGAUGGGAGAGAGUAACG
This 191-nucleotide non-coding RNA is filed under the name Brenneria sp. Its description in RNAcentral is "FMN sequence". It matches the Rfam family "FMN riboswitch aptamer (RFN element)". From Rfam's summary of the family: The RFN element is a highly conserved domain that is found frequently in the 5'-untranslated regions of prokaryotic mRNAs that encode for flavin mononucleotide (FMN) biosynthesis and transport proteins. This element is a metabolite-dependent riboswitch that directly binds FMN in the absence of proteins. The record is from RNAcentral. Lineage: Bacteria; Pseudomonadati; Pseudomonadota; Gammaproteobacteria; Enterobacterales; Pectobacteriaceae.